Long non-coding RNA from Rosa rugosa (rugosa rose), 1385 nucleotides. RefSeq lists it as uncharacterized. The record is from RefSeq and is a predicted model, not a curated record. Lineage: Eukaryota; Viridiplantae; Streptophyta; Magnoliopsida; Rosales; Rosaceae. The transcript has 3 exons.
GAUGAUCUAUGUGAAGAUCUAUGUGAUGAUCUAUGUGAAGAACUAUGUGAUGAUCUAUGUGAAGAAUCUAUGUGAAGAUCUAUGUGAUGAUCUAUGUGAUGAUCUAUGUGAAGAUCCCUGUGAUGAUUUUGUGUAAUUGAUGUGGAGUGUUGUUGAAGAGUUGUUGAGUGAGUUAACAUUGGUGAUGAAAUGAUUUAGUGGCCAUAGGAAUGUAUUUUUAUACAAAGCGCUGUGGCUUUGUAGAUUACUACAGUUUUGGGAAAGAUGGAGAUUCGAUGGUUAGGUUAACCGUAAUCGAGAGCAAUUAACUUGCGCUUAAAUUUCGGGACGAAAUUUCUUUAAGGAGGGUGGAUUGUAAUACCCGAAAAAAAUUCAAGUUAAUUUCCGAUGACGUUUUGGAAAUGAUUUCGUGGUCGUGGACACGAGUACGAAGCUUGGAGGAGUGUGGAAUUAGUUCGAACGAUUUUAUUUCGAAAAACUGAACGUUUUAGGGGGGGUCAAAGGAGUUGACUUUUUAUACAUUAGGAAUUUAGGAAAACUUCCUUCAUGAAAGUUGUAGAGCUCGUCGAUACGAUCUCGUGCAUAUGUGGAACGCAAAAAUCGGAGUUCGUAUGAGAAAGUUAUGAUCAAUUGAAAUUUGGGGAAAUUUCUAUAAAUAGCAAAAAAAUCCCGAAAAUGGAAAUUGUCUGCAGAUUUUUCUCUCCCGAGCUCGGCUACUGUAGCCAUUUCGCCUCCUUCAUUCUUCCUCCUCCGUCCACAAUAGGUCGAAUUGUUGAGUGGGUUUUGUUCACCACACUCCCACCUACACGUCUGUGGAAGCCUUUUAUCAUGGGAAGCACUGUGGAGGCCGUUGCAACCCCGGGAAGUUGCUCCGCCGAGCUAAAAACGCCCAAAAUCGCCGACCUUGGUUCUCCCAAUUCCGGCCACCAUAGCUCGAGUUCUUUGAGGGCUUUUCUAGCCCAGAGGCCGUAGAUGCUUCCCUCCAAGCGGCUUGCAACGAUUUCACCUGUGGAGCUCGAAUUUUGAAGAUUGGGAAACUAGGGUUCUUCGGGUUUCAAAACUUGCGAGGUGAUUGACGGUCUCCCUUGGGUGAAUGAUUUCGGUGUGUAUUGUGUUAAAUUGAAGACGCAGCGGGAAUAUCGAGCGGGUAAUCCUACAGGUCAGGUGAAUCGGGAAGGUGAUCGAGCUGCUUAGAGAAAUUGCAUUGGGUAAAUCUGGAUUUAUAUUGUGAGGUUUGUUAUGCUCUUUUGAGUAUUGUAAAUUAAGUGUGAGAGUGUGAUGUAAUAAGUAAAUUGAAGAUUGGUUUUUGUAUUAUUGAGAGGUGUGAAGUGUGGUUGUUUGUGAGAAAAAAAUUCAGGACGUUAUUUGUAUUGAUGUUAAUCAUG